RNAcentral lists this long non-coding RNA (577 nucleotides) under Homo sapiens (human). RNAcentral describes it as "non-protein coding TPT1-AS1:56". The record is from RNAcentral. Lineage: Eukaryota; Metazoa; Chordata; Mammalia; Primates; Hominidae.
GUUGGACCCGGCUCCGCCCUACCCCACGGGGCCGCCUGGAGAGGUGCUGGGAGCUGGGUGGAGCUUAGAGGAAUUAAACUUUGGCCCUGCGCCUCGUCCAGCCUAGGUUCCACCCUUUUCUGGGAACGUGAGUAUCAACCAAGUUUACACCCCGCCACUCCUGAGCACCGCACACCGGCUUCCUCCCAGUCCCUCAUCUGAGAACUCAUGAAGCCACUUGGAAUCCCUCUCUGCUUUGCCUGGCUCAUUCCAUGUCAAUUUCAGAUCUUCACUUCAGGUCAGCUCCAAGGAGGCUAUCCUUGCCCAUCUUCCUAAAAUAGAGCUCUCAAAACCUGGCUGUUUUCCUUCAGAGCACUGGCCUCCAAUUUAAAUCCCAAGUAAGGUACCUGCCGUCGGCAGAUUUGAGCUUUCUUCUUGGACACCUAAUACCCAGAGUCCUCCAGGCUCCGGUAGAUUGCAAAUGACCUGCUUUCUUUCUGUUCCCGGGCGGCAUCGGACCCGUCGGAGAGUAAAUCCCAAGUAAGGUACCUGCCGUUGGCAGAUUUGAGCUUUCUUCUUGGACACCUAAUACCCACAG